UGGGGAAUUUUCCGCAAUGGGCGAAAGCCUGACGGAGCAAUACCGCGUGAGGGAGGAAGGCUUUUGGGUUGUAAACCUCUUUUCUCAAGGAAGAAGAUCUGACGGUACUUGAGGAAGAAGCACCGGCUAACUCCGUGCCAGCAGCCGCGGUAAUACGGAGGGUGCAAGCGUUAAUCGGAAUUACUGGGCGUAAAGCGCGCGUAGGUGGUUGUGUAAGUCGGAUGUGAAAGCCCAGGGCUUAACCUUGGAAUUGCAUCCGAUACUGCAUGACUAGAGUAUGGUAGAGGGAAGUGGAAUUUCCGGUGUAGCGGUGAAAUGCGUAGAUAUCGGAAGGAACACCAGUGGCGAAGGCGACUUCCUGGGCCAAUACUGACACUGAGGUGCGAAAGCGUGAGGAGCAAACAGGAUUAGAUACCCCUGUAGUCC
RNAcentral lists this ribosomal RNA (426 nucleotides) under uncultured prokaryote. RNAcentral describes it as "bacterial SSU rRNA". It matches the Rfam family "Bacterial small subunit ribosomal RNA", at positions 355 to 796 of the family's 1533-position model. The record is from RNAcentral.